RNAcentral lists this long non-coding RNA (970 nucleotides) under Trifolium pratense (red clover). RNAcentral's name for it is "long non-coding RNA (TPRA_LNC007322)". Lineage: Eukaryota; Viridiplantae; Streptophyta; Magnoliopsida; Fabales; Fabaceae. The record is from RNAcentral.
UUGCAGAAAAAUAAUAUAAAAAGCAUUUUGUAGUAACUUCUCGUAUCAGCGGAAUUAGCUUAUACAUCUCAAUUUCGUCAAAAACUAUAUUCUUAAACUACUCAUAAACAUCUAUAAAGAACCAGAGCAGUAGAACGCUUCUUAGAGAAGUAGAGGGUCUCUCUGUACCAACCACCAGGUUCUAACAGAAUACUCCCAUGGCUCCCCCCACACACUCCCCCUAAUCAUUAUAUUGGAAUAUUCCAGCUAACUGCUGAGCUGGCAGAAGCUAUCACUCAGCAGCAGUAUCCUUCAUACGCUCAUACACUUUCCAGACCUUGAGCAUAUUCUGAUUAAAGCCGACUGACACUUUUCCAUCGGACCCAACAACAGGGUCUAUGUCCAGUACCCUAUCAGUGCGUGCACCCGUGGUUAAUGUUUUGGAAGACAGAUAUUUGAGGUAUUGAUGUAAAACCGUGGUUCUGACAAAUUAUUGUUGGUAACAUUUAGCUUAGUAGGUUUUAGGAGUUCACAAAUGAUGUCCUAUGUGAGGAAUGAUAUUAGUCUGGAAUAGGUCUCUAAGGAAUUAAAAAUAUUAUCCUUUCGACUGAUUGAGAGUAGAAUCAGCAACUUUGAGAGAUAUAUGAAACAAGCAACAAAGAAAAACAAAUAGGACUUCUCAGCUAGACAUCUCGGACAGACAGUGACAGCAGUAUUAUGUAUUAACCCUCCUUUGUCUUCUUUAUGAGAUUACAAGACAAAACUGAAAACAAUAAACGGAAUAAAUAUCCUCCCUCAAAAGAAGGAAAUUAUGCAGAAAAAUCAUAUUGAUCACCUGCUUGGAAUCAUAUACAAAUAUGGCUUUUAACAGAAUGCAGUUGCCAAGUUGAACAAUAUAAGGAAUUUAAGAUCAACUUGAAAACAAUAAAAGCAUGCAUUUAACAAGGACAGGCAACCGCACAAAACGAUGACUACCUAUUUAUGAAGAACC